CCUACGGGAGGCAGCAGUCGAGAAUCAUUCACAAUGGGGGAAACCCUGAUGGUGCGACGCCGCGUGGGGGAAUGAAGGUCUUCGGAUUGUAAACCCCUGUCAUGUGGGAGCAAAUUAAAAAGAUAGUACCACAAGAGGAAGAGACGGCUAACUCUGUGCCAGCAGCCGCGGUAAUACAGAGGUCUCAAGCGUUGUUCGGAAUCACUGGGCGUAAAGCGUGCGUAGGCUGUUUCGUAAGUCGUGUGUGAAAGGCGCGGGCUCAACCCGCGGACGGCACAUGAUACUGCGAGACUAGAGUAAGGGAGGGGGAACGGGAAUUCUAGGUGUAGCAGUGAAAUGCGUAGAUAUCGAGAGGAACACUCGUGGCGAAGGCGGGUUCCUGGACAUUAACUGACGCUGAGGCACGAAGGCCAGGGGAGCGAAAGGGAUUAGAUACCCGAGUAGUC
Molecule: ribosomal RNA, 446 nt
Filed under: uncultured bacterium
Lineage: Bacteria
Description: partial 16S ribosomal RNA
Rfam family: Bacterial small subunit ribosomal RNA
Source: RNAcentral